GAUGAACGCUAGCGGCAGGCUUAAUACAUGCAAGUUGAGGGGCAGCAUGAUAUACGCGAGUAUAUUGAUGGCGACCGGCGGACGGGUGAGUAAUAGGUAGGAGACCUACCUCAUACAGGGGGAUAGCAUAGAGAAAUCUGUGGUAAUACCCCAUGAGGUUAUAUGAAUAGAGGCAUAUAAUCAAAGCAUAAGCGAUUAUGCGGUAUGAGAGGGGCCUACUGACCAUUAGCUAGUUGGUGAGGUAAGGGCUCACCAAGGCGAAGAUGGUUAGGGGUUUUGAGAGAGAGACCCCCCACAUUGGAACUGAGAGACGGUCCAGACUCCUACGGGAGGCAGCAGUAGGGAAUAUUGGGCAAUGGGCGAAAGCCUGACCCAGCCAUGCCGCGUGAAGGAGACGGCCUUAUGGGUUGUAAACUUCUUUACUACGCGAAUAGAGGUUAGUACGAGAUACUAAUAGGAAGGUAGUGUAGUAAAAGCAACCGGCUAACUCCGUG
Molecule: ribosomal RNA, 494 nt
Filed under: uncultured bacterium
Lineage: Bacteria
Description: bacterial SSU rRNA
Rfam family: Bacterial small subunit ribosomal RNA
Source: RNAcentral